CCUACGGGAGGCAGCAGUGGGGAAUAUUGCACAAUGGGGGAAACCCUGAUGCAGCGACGCCGCGUGAGCGAAGAAGUAUUUCGGUAUGUAAAGCUCUAUCAGCAGGGAAGAAGAAAUGGCGGUACCUGACUAAGAAGCACCGGCUAAAUACGUGCCAGCAGCCGCGGUAAUACGUAUGGUGCAAGCGUUAUCCGGAUUUACUGGGUGUAAAGGGAGCGCAGGCGGUACGGCAAGUCUGAUGUGAAAGCCCGGGGCUCAACCCCGGUACUGCAUUGGAAACUGUCGGACUAGAGUGUCGGAGGGGUAAGUGGAAUUCCUAGUGUAGCGGUGAAAUGCGUAGAUAUUAGGAGGAACACCAGUGGCGAAGGCGGCUUACUGGACGAUUACUGACGCUGAGGCUCGAAAGCGUGGGGAGCAAACAGGAUUAGAUACCCUGGUAGUCC
RNAcentral lists this ribosomal RNA (443 nucleotides) under Roseburia hominis. Its description in RNAcentral is "bacterial SSU rRNA". It matches the Rfam family "Bacterial small subunit ribosomal RNA", at positions 338 to 796 of the family's 1533-position model. The record is from RNAcentral. Lineage: Bacteria; Bacillati; Bacillota; Clostridia; Lachnospirales; Lachnospiraceae.